RNAcentral lists this ribosomal RNA (265 nucleotides) under uncultured bacterium. RNAcentral's name for it is "partial 16S ribosomal RNA". It matches the Rfam family "Bacterial small subunit ribosomal RNA", at positions 793 to 1055 of the family's 1533-position model. The record is from RNAcentral.
GUCCACGCCGUAAACGAUGUCGACUAGCCGUUGGAGACCUUAGAGUCUUUAGUGGCGCAGCUAACGCGAUAAGUCGACCGCCUGGGGAGUACGGCCGCAAGGUUAAAACUCAAAUGAAUUGACGGGGGCCCCGCACAAGCGGUGGAGCAUGUGGUUUAAUUCGAUGCAACGCGAAGAACCUUACCAGGUCUUGACAUCCAGAGAACUUUCCAGAGAUGGAUUGGUGCCGCAAGGAGCUCUGAGACAGGUGCUGCAUGGCUGUCGU